RNAcentral lists this microRNA (21 nucleotides) under Marchantia polymorpha subsp. ruderalis. Lineage: Eukaryota; Viridiplantae; Streptophyta; Marchantiopsida; Marchantiales; Marchantiaceae. The record is from RNAcentral.
GCGAUCCGGUUAUGCAGUUGA